UACGGGGGGGGCAAGCGUUGUUCGGAAUUACUGGGCGUAAAGGGCUCGUAGGUGGCCAACUAAGUCAGACGUGAAAUCCCUCGGCUUAACCGGGGAACUGCGUCUGAUACUGGAUGGCUUGAGUUCGGGAGAGGGAUGCGGAAUUCCAGGUGUAGCGGUGAAAUACGUAGAUAUCUGGAGGAACACCGGUGGCGAAAGCGGCUUCCUGGUCCAGCACCGACGUUCAGGCACGAAAGCGUGGGGAGCAAACAGG
Molecule: ribosomal RNA, 253 nt
Filed under: uncultured bacterium
Lineage: Bacteria
Description: partial 16S ribosomal RNA
Rfam family: Bacterial small subunit ribosomal RNA
Source: RNAcentral